This 507-nucleotide ribosomal RNA is filed under the name uncultured Glomus. Its description in RNAcentral is "SSU rRNA". It matches the Rfam family "Eukaryotic small subunit ribosomal RNA", at positions 569 to 1078 of the family's 1831-position model. The record is from RNAcentral. Lineage: Eukaryota; Fungi; Glomeromycota; Glomeromycetes; Glomerales; Glomeraceae.
AGCAGCCGCGGUAAUUCCAGCUCCAAUAGCGUAUAUUAAAGUUGUUGCAGUUAAAAAGCUCGUAGUUGAAUUUCGGGAUUAGUACGUUGGUCGUGCCUUAGGUACGUACUGGUGUUACUGGUUCCUACCUUCUGACGAACCAUCAUGUCAUUAAUUUGGUGUGGCGGGGAAUCAGGACUGUUACUUUGAAAAAAUUAGAGUGUUUAAAGCAGGCUCGCGCUUGAAUACAUUAGCAUGGAAUAAUGAAAUAGGACGUUGACCCUAUUUUGUUGGUUUCUAGGAUUGACGUAAUGAUUAAUAGGGAUAGUUGGGGGCAUUAGUAUUCAAUUGUCAGAGGUGAAAUUCUUGGAUUUAUUGAAGACUAACUACUGCGAAAGCAUUUGCCAAGGAUGUUUUCAUUAAUCAAGAACGAAAGUUAGGGGAUCGAAGACGAUCAGAUACCGUCGUAGUCUUAACCAUAAACUAUGCCGACUAGGGAUCGGAUGAUGUUAAUUUUUUAAUGACUCA